This 61-nucleotide transfer RNA is filed under the name Physunio superbus. RNAcentral describes it as "tRNA-Gly". The record is from RNAcentral. Lineage: Eukaryota; Metazoa; Mollusca; Bivalvia; Unionida; Unionidae.
ACACUGAUAGUAUAAAAGUACAGCUGCCUUCCAAGCAAAAAGUCCUCAACAGGCCAGUGUA